GUUACCGUAUAACUGUACAUAUAUGCAUUAUUUUGUUGAGUGACAGCUGUAAAGUAAACGAUGAGCAGAGGAGGCGGACCUUCCUUCCUCCUGAAGAUGUCAUAAAGGAUGCAUGAAAUUCCCUUUGCCAUAAAUACAUUAUACGUAUACAAUUAUACAUACAAACAUGUGUCCUGCACUUUUGGAAAACGAAGAGCGAUGCUUGGGAGGCAUGACUUUCUUCGCACAAAGUCAUCCAGUGGAAGUAUGCGGCAGCAAUGGUCUGCCUCUCACGCCAAACUCAAUAACUAUUUAUGGAAAGUCACAAUUUUUAAAGACCAUUUAUCAUUCUCAUCUCUCCCCUUAUCUUGAUAUAAUUAGAAGCAAGCAUGAAAGAAUAGUGGUCGUCGCAGAAUAUAGCGGAGAUCCAUUAAGCACUAAACAUGAUCUAAGUACAGAAGAGAUUAUUAAGAUAUCCUUUCAAUGUCUUUUGGCAUUAAAACAUAUGAAUGAACUAGAUCUGGUACAUAGACAUUUAAGUCCUGAUAAUAUUCUGAUUAAGAAAAAUGGUGAUGUACAGCUAUACAAUUAUGGAUUAUAUUACAUGACAGAUGGUGGGAAAAAUGUAUCCUUUCCAAUUGGUUCACCAAAGUAUACGGCACCAGAAGUAUUCUUAAAUCCUAGUCCAAGUGGUGUUAAGGUAGAUUCAUGGUCAUUGGGAAUGAUUAUAGCGGAACAGUUAUUAGGACAAUCUAUUUGGUCCAGUGUAAAAUUGUCUCAAUGUUUAAGAAAAGUUCUGAGCUUAAUAUUAUGUGAUACCAGUAUAUUUGAACGUCUUGCCAGAGAAAAUAAUUGUUUCCACAUUUAUGAAAAGCUAUCAAAAGAAUUAAAGGAAUUUGUAAAUUCAUGUCUACAAAUUCAUCCUGUUAAACGUAAAACUCCAGAAGAAUUACUGGAAUUACCUAUAUUCGCAGAGUAUUUAAUGAAAAAUGCACAGGAAAAGGAAGAAAAUCUCUAUAAAAAUGUUAUUGUUAGAAAAAUGGACGAACUGUAUUAUUUGUGGCAGUUGGCUGGUGGAGACAUAACUGUGGAUUUAAAAAAACAAGGUCUCAUUAGAUCAAGACCACCUAUUUUAUCUAUCCCAAACUUAGUCAUAUUACUGGGUCAAAUGUUUGGCCAAAGAGAUACCGCUAGCCUACUCGAUAUAAGGAUUGUAAAAGUUCCUAUGGAAACUCUUCGCCAGCGUUUAGCUCAUAUUCCAUACAUAGCAAAUUAUCCUUGGUUAACAAAUCAAAUGCGAGUUCAAGCACAAGAAGACUUGAUGAAUGCCGCCUCCCAAUUACCAUUAAUUAUAAGAGAACGCGACACCGAAUAUCAGUUUUACAGGCUAGUCUUAUUUGAUAGACUCUUACAGGCGUAUCCGCUUACUCAGGAAGCAAUUAUUGAGGAAGCACACAAAGACAUACCACCUCCAGUAAGGGGUGCGGUGUGGGCGGCUUUGCUUGGUGUCACCGGCGAUAUAAAGAAACGUUAUGAUAUGAUCGACAAGGAGACACCCACUCACACUGAUCGACAGAUAGAGGUGGAUAUCCCGAGAUGUCAUCAAUAUAGCGAAUUAUUAUCAUCUGAAGCUGGGCACGAACGAUUGCAGAGAUUAUUAAAGGCAUGGGUCAGGAAUAAUCCGCAUUAUGUUUAUUGGCAGGGACUUGAUUCGCUGACAGCGCCUUUUCUUUAUUUAAAUUUUAAUAACGAAGCUCGAGCAUUCGCAUGUCUUUCUGCCUUUAUACCGAAAUAUCUUCACAAAUUCUUUUUAAAAGACAAUUCGGCAGUGAUACAGGAAUACCUGGGCAAGUUUUCUCAAAUCAUUGCAUUUCAUGAUCCCCAGUUGGCAAAUCAUUUAAAAUCUAUAAAUUUUGUACCAGAACUCUUUGCAAUACCAUGGUUCCUUACAAUGUUUUCACAUGUAUUUCCAUUGCAUAAAAUAUUACAUCUAUGGGAUAAACUAUUACUGGGCGACUCGUCAUUUCCUCUUUUGGUCGGAUUGGCAAUAUUGAAACAAUUGAGAGAUUCCUUAUUGAUGUCGGGUUUCAAUGAGUGUAUUCUCCUGUUCUCCGAUUUGCCCGAGAUCGAUAUAGAACUAUGUGUUAAAGAUUCCAUGACGAUGUAUCAAAAUACACCUGUUAGCAUCACAUAUAGAAAACACCAAUAUAAUACAACAAAGGAUGCAAACUGGAUUGAACCUGAAGCGGGUACUGAAAAAAUGCCAAGGAUAAAUGUAGAUGAUUUUUUAAAUCUCUACAACAACUCACCAAGCAAAAUUAUAGCGGUUGAUAUUCGAAAGAGGCGCUAUUCUAGGCAGCAUUAAUAUCCCAUUUACGAGUGUACAAUUGUCUCAAACUCAUAUCGAGACACUCGGUCCUCAUGCAAAACCAUUGAUAGAUAAUAAAAAUAAUGUUGUUGUAAUUAUUGGACCACACGAUCAAAAUAAUGCACUGUUCGCAGAUUUUCUAGUAAAGUGCAAUGUUGUGGGAGUUUGCUCUCUGCAAGGCGGAAUUAACGCAUUACGAUCCAAAUCUCCAAACAUCAUAGUACCUGCUGCACGCUAAUUGAAUUACGUAAUUACAUUACUGUAUACAAGAUACUCAGAUUUAUUUCUCGAA
This 2639-nucleotide unclassified non-coding RNA is filed under the name Camponotus floridanus (Florida carpenter ant). RNAcentral describes it as "tBC domain-containing protein kinase-like protein, transcript variant X3". The record is from RNAcentral. Lineage: Eukaryota; Metazoa; Arthropoda; Insecta; Hymenoptera; Formicidae.